UUGUGUAUGUGGUAAAAUUUAGUAUUUUACAGUUUGUAUGAGACAGCAACCAAGGAAUCUGAAUAAGCUUUAAUAAAAACUAUGUCAGUGAGACUCAUGGCUAAAUAACAAUAAAAUGUAAGUUUUGAUAUUCCUUAAAACCUAGAUAUAAUUAUUAAUAAAGCCAAAUAAGUUCUAUCCAAAACUAGAAAUCCAUCAUCACAGCUCGAAUCUAGAUGAUCUUCAUUGCUUGCAUACACUAGAUUUGAAACAACUGUCAUCAUCACAGUUUUGCUCUAAAAUCCAAUUACCAUAUUCUCAACAUUAAGCUUGUUGCAUUAAAGUUGAAUCUAAUAUCUUCUUUGUUUUUGAGUCAUGAGUUACAGGAAUGAUGAAUUUGUAUCUCAUAUGUUGGGGGGUUAAUUCAAAUUUAAUUUCUAGAUAGUUGUGUAGUCUGUGGGUUAUUUUUGUUAAGUAGUUGAUGUGAUGUGAAAUUUUGUUAUGGUAGUUAUUUUCCCACAGUUUGCAGUUAGGUGUAGGUAUUUGUGCUCUGUGUUAAGUAGUUGCUAACCCUAAAAUCUAGGCCUUGUCUCCUCUGACCUCUUAUCUGUGAUACGGGUAUGCUGAGUAUGAGGUAAUUUUCAGAUACUUUUAAAGUGAAAAUACACCUUGUAAGCUGGUAAUUAUGGCACAUUUCCUUUGAUAAGAACUUUGUGCCACAGAAAUUCUUUUGAGUUUGGCAUGCCUAAGCUAGUGUUUACAAUUUUCUCAUUUUUCUCUCUCCAUUUGAAAUUAUCAUUUCAAAAGCAUGUAUCUUUUAACUUCUCUUGCCUUACAGAGUGCUUGGAGCCUAAAACAGUGCAUUUCUUGGUACCAGUUGGAUCUAAAUGCAAAAUAUUCAAGUGAUUACACAGCAGUACCUGCCUGUAACAGGGAUAAGACUCCUCUGACACUGGGGCAUAAAUGCUUUACCUUCUCAUAAAAAGCAGAAGGGAGUAAUAGCCUGUGACUAUGGUAUGUAGUUAAACAACACAUGCUCAAAUUUUAUGAGUCUCUUUCUAGAGAAUGGUUACUUAUCUGCAAGUAAGGAGAACAUACAGUGUCUAUCUAUUUGCAUAUUUUAGGAACCAUGCUUGCUUGCUUUUUAUUAUUUUAUAAUUGAAUAAGAGAAAUUUCUUCCUCAGUGACCCAAAAGAGCUGAGAGUUGUUAUAGGCUAUAUUCAUGGGCCCAUAAUUUUUGACUUUGGGAAAUCAAUUAAGGGGGUCAGAAUUUCAUUUCUGGCAGAAGGUGGUACAAGAAAAUAUCUGUCAAAUUUUUGACACCCUGUUUCAUAGGAAAUACAGGAAGUGUGAAAUCCUUCAGUUGAUGUAUGUCUUGAUUCUCUGCAAUUUCCUCCUUACUGUGUUAAACAAUGGAUGAUCUUGCCCUGAGAUAACUGCUAUUUAUCCCUCUCCAGUUUUCUUGAAAGAUAAUUGACAUAUAUCACUGUUUAAGGUUUCAGCAUGAUGGCCUAACAUUAUCUAUUGUGAAAUGAUUACCACAAUAAGUUCAGCUAACAUCCAUCAUCUCAUGUCCA
Molecule: long non-coding RNA, 1556 nt
Filed under: Canis lupus familiaris (dog)
Lineage: Eukaryota; Metazoa; Chordata; Mammalia; Carnivora; Canidae
Description: lncRNA (ENSCAFG00000051028.1, ENSCAFG00845001791.1)
Source: RNAcentral